GACGAACGCUGGCGGCGUGCUUAACACAUGCAAGUCGAACGGAAAGGCCCUGCUUUUGUGGGGUGCUCGAGUGGCGAACGGGUGAGUAACACGUGAGUAACCUGCCCUUGACUUUGGGAUAACUUCAGGAAACUGGGGCUAAUACCGGAUAGGAGCUCCUGCUGCAUGGUGGGGGUUGGAAAGUUUCGGCGGUUGGGGAUGGACUCGCGGCUUAUCAGCUUGUUGGUGGGGUAGUGGCUUACCAAGGCUUUGACGGGUAGCCGGCCUGAGAGGGUGACCGGCCACAUUGGGACUGAGAUACGGCCCAGACCCAUACGGGAGGGAGCAGUGGGGAAUAUUGAACAAUGGGCGGAAGCCUGAUGCAGCAACGCCGCGUGCGGGAUGACGGCCUUCGGGUUGUAAACUGCUUUCGCUUGUGACGAAGCGUGAGUGACGGUAAUGGGGAAAGAAGCACCGGCUAACUACGU
This 467-nucleotide ribosomal RNA is filed under the name uncultured bacterium. Its description in RNAcentral is "partial 16S ribosomal RNA". It matches the Rfam family "Bacterial small subunit ribosomal RNA", at positions 28 to 506 of the family's 1533-position model. The record is from RNAcentral.